AUGUGUGUUCAACUUGGCUAAGAGCCAACACAGUAUUGCUGCUACUGUUCAAUUGUACCUGUUGCAGCAAAAGCCAAGAAUAGGCUUCUCCAAAUGGAGGCUGUUUCUUGUUCUCUUUUUCCUUUCUCUCUUUUUCUUGUCCCAGCUGUAGCGUUAUGGUUGGGGGAAGGAAAUGAGGAAGUGGAGUUAGAGGGAAGCCAGCUUAACUGCCGCUCCUGAAAGUUGUACAACCAGCCUAAAGUUUUGCUGCCACAUGAAAUAUGUAAAAGGAUUUUGGUUGAAGGUGGUUAGCAAGGCAAAGAAAAGAAAUGGAUAUUAACAUCUGAGUGUGUCCUCCAGCUUCGGAGAAAGCUCCCUUGCACCUGCAGGAACUCACUUGCUGGCUGCAGGCUUUUUUCCUUUUGUUUUUGUGAUCAGGUUGAAAAAAAAAAACUAAGACUCUCCUCCAGGUCGUCCAGCGGAGCCAGCCAGGAACUUUUUUCAUUCUCAAGCAACUUCUGCAUUUUGUUAAAGGCAAACAGGCUCUUCUGCCUCUCAUCUCAUAUUUUUGUCAGACACCAGUUUUGCUAAGUCAGGAGGCUAAAAGAUGGAAACAGAAACAUCACAAUAAAAUACAUGUGACCUAAAUGGAAGUUCCAAAGCCAGAUGUCACUGACGAAUCAUCCCUGUAUGGAGAAUGAAGUCAGGAAUGCUGGAAUAAAGAUUGUGAGCCCUGAUGAAGGUCUGUAAGUAUGAUUGUCAACCAAGCGUUGUGCAAGCAGUUAGAGUGUGGGAAUAGGACCGAAGAAACUGAGUCCAAAACCCCAUUCAGCUGUGAUAUUUGCUGGGUGACACAGAGCCUGCCACUCAAAAGGUUUGACCUACCUCACGGGGUUGUUGUUAUACAAGGGAAAAUGGGACACGGAAGCCAUAUGGAAACGGGACUUUGUGAGCAGUCAUGCCCAGAGAGGGUUCUGGUGAAACUCAAACGCUGAACUUAUAUGCUACAGCCUUACAGACUAUGCUACAGCCUUACAGACUAUGUUGAAUCUGAAAAAGUUUAAUGCCUCCUCAACACCUAAAAACUCAUGAGAAGAUUGUAUGCAGAAAAAUGUGAAUGCCUUUUUCUUUUUUGAUCUUGUUGUUUGCUUUUUGCCUAGGAACACCUUUUGUUUGAAGACAUUGUUUUUUGUUUUUGGCUUCGGGAAAAGGGCACAGGCCCGGGGCAAGCAGGGAAACAAAAGCAUAAAUUGGGAAGAUUAACAUGCCAAAGGACCAAAUUGAAAGUGGCCUCAGGAUUUAUCUAUCUUUGUAUUACUUGUCUUGAAAACUUUACUUUUUCUGUUUUGGCUAGUAUUGACACCCAGGGACUUGAUUUUAGGAUGCCUUCUCUAUGGGGGGAGGGAGAAUAUUGGCAACUCACUUGUCUGUUUUCUCUCAAGUAAACAGGGUUUUGUAACCAACAGUGCCUUGAAUUAUCUCUCCAAGAAGGGUUUUCCUCAGAUGACAGAAGUAUCCUGCAUAUAAUUAUUAGACUGUGGUCCCAAAGGAAACCUCCAAAAGGACAUCAACAGUGACCCAGGAGAUUAGCUGCCAGCGACAACCAUCCAACGGCAACAGAUUGUUCACCUGCUAAUUUGUCUUGUGUUGAAUAAAUUCUGGGCAUAUAAAGGAGAUUCAUGAAGCCUACAGCUUCAGAAUCUUGAAAAUAAAAAGGGAGGAAUGAUGGGGACAUAAAAAAAGCUGUGUUUAAUGAAAAGCUGUGUUUUGCCCUUAGCACAAGAGAUGCCAUUUUGUUUUCUGUAAGAGACUGUUUUAAGCUAUUGGGGAAUAAAUGAUGAAGGAAUAAAAUGCAAGCAAGGGAGUUUCAAAAUGACUUUAGAGGUAUUUCUGUGUUAAAACCGCAAACAAUUGGCUAGACGGAGCAGGAUGUGCUUUUGACAUUUGACAUAUAGGCAAUUGAGAAAUGCUUGAGUCUGCGAGACCACAAUAGGGAAAACGGGAAGUGGAGAACAGGUGGUGUGAUAACAUGUCUGGAGAAACAACUUAUUUGAAUAUAGCCAAUAGCAUUGAUUCUACAGAAAAGGGGAACUGAGGGAGGGGGCUUGUUGCUUGUCACUGCUUGUUGUUAGAGUAUAAAAUUGCUUGUAACUUCUUCUGCGGGUGUGCCACUUCUUGGGGUGCGCACCCAGUAGCUUUGCUUGGCCAAAUAAAGAUACUGACCAGAAUCUC
Hemicordylus capensis (graceful crag lizard) is the source of this 2211-nucleotide long non-coding RNA. RefSeq lists it as uncharacterized. The record is from RefSeq and is a predicted model, not a curated record. NCBI's taxonomy places the organism in Eukaryota, Metazoa, Chordata, Lepidosauria, Squamata, Cordylidae. The transcript has 2 exons.